RNAcentral lists this long non-coding RNA (2834 nucleotides) under Homo sapiens (human). RNAcentral describes it as "HSALNT0131109". The record is from RNAcentral. Lineage: Eukaryota; Metazoa; Chordata; Mammalia; Primates; Hominidae.
ACGCCUGUAAUCCUAGCACUUUGGGAGGCCGAGGUGGGUGUAUCACGCGGUCAGGAGAUGGAGACCAUCCUGGCCAACAUGGUGAAACCCUGUCUCUACUAAAAAUACAAAAAUUAGCCAGGCUUUGUGGUGCAUGCCCACAGUGAGCUGAGAUCGCACCACUGUACUCCAUCCUGGGGGACAGAGCUAGACUCCAUCUCAAAAACGAAAGUGCCUGGUCGUCUUUCCACACAACUCCGUUUCCACUCCCAUAAAAUGCUACGUUAGCUGUUUUGAGGGUAGAUGCCCUUAGACUGCCAACUCACAAAGUUUUAUUGGGCACCUGUUACCUGUUCAGCAGAGAUUUGUAAAAAAAGACACAUCAGGUGGCCUUUGCUUGCAAGAAAUCAGCCUUUGGAACCUGUGGAGAAAAGUUAAGUACUGCGUACUGCGCAAAUGAAGGGUGGGAGCUAUUGAAGGGAAGAGACUCACCCCGAAAACCCAAGAAUGGUCAAACGAGAGGCAAGGUGGAGCCUGCAGUUUUCACUGGAAGGAUUCUAGAGUGAGUGAUUCUGGGGACCUAGAGAUGGGGGAUAACGGGUGAAAGGAACAAGCACGGCCCCUUUGAGGUGGAAAACAGACUGGUGGGCCAGGGUUGGGAGGGUGUGCUGGGGAAGUGUUGUGGGCAGAGGCUGGAAAAUGAAAUUGGGCUGGGGUUAGGAGACAGGUGACCGUGGAAGACUGCUCUGACAAUCAGAGUCUGGACUUUGCUCCUCUGCAGGAUCCCUGAUGCCCAGAUGGACCCUUCGAUGUUCCUGGCCCACCUGCGCUACCUAUUCUUGCCCCGCUCUGCUCUAGUAUUUACAACUGCACGAUGGCACAGUUGGUCUCUGGGACUUAGAAUUUGUGUUGCAAACACAAGACCUGGAGAAUGGACCUGGUCUGUGAUAUAGUGUGUCAGUCAGGGACCUGGAGAAACAGAAGGGGAUCCCAAAUAAGAAGACUUGAAGGAAGUUUAAGAAAGGCACCAAAUACAAUUUGAAACUUGUGGGCUGGGAAGCCACACGAGAUAGCGCAGGCUGGGGGAUGUGCAGGAGCUGUCAUCAGAAGCCGGAAGUGGAACAUGUUAUGAAAAAGGUCACUUUUCAUAACACUUUGCAUGGAGAAGGAGUACAAGGGAAGUCAAGAGGACCCACAGUGGGAAGUGGGCUGUGAAUACUCUGAUCCUACCUCAUUUACUGCCAGUGCAUCCCUUGGCCUAAGUGAAGUAGGAGCUUGGGAGAAGAUUGGCCGUUGACUCUAAUCCUGCUCCCAGGUUCCUACUUAAUCAGCAUCCAAGAUCAAGGUGUGGAGUUGACAGUGACAUCUCGGACUUCAAUCCACCAUGUUGACUUCUGAUUAACCCCAGUCCUGGGAAUACCUCCAAGAAUUCUACUUUAUUUACUUCUCUUAUGUAAGAAUGUUUAACUCACCAUGGAUCCUGCCCUUAGACCAAAGCGACCUUGAUGUUAUUGCACAAAUUACAGGCUAUGACACAUAUACCAUUCCUGCCUGUGCUAGAGGAUUGCCUUUAAUUGCUUGCUGGAGCACAUAUGCUUUUCCCUAUGGUAGAUAAGCCUUGGGUCUGGGAGUAAGAGUGCAGAGAUCUACCUGUCUUGGUGCCACCCAAGGUCAUACCUCCGUCUGUAAGUUCCCCUUUCAUGGAACACAAGGUAAACCUCACAAAGUAUAAGGCAGAUCUUUUCCCAUUUCCUGCAUGUCUUCUCAAUACCUGUGAUUGAAACAUGCAGUGGAAAUAUCCAUGCCCGUCUUGAUGGAUGAAGCUAACUGGCUGGUAGGUCGAAGCCAGUUCGAGGAACAGGUUCCAUGCAGUGCCUCCAGCCUGUUCCUGGGACAGGCUCCAAUCUCUUGGUGCAGUUAGCUUCAUGCAUUAAGACAGGCAUGGAUAUUUCCAUGUUCUUCCUGAAUCACAGGUAUUGAGAGGAAGUGUGGGAAAUGGGAGAACAGCUGCCUUAUGAAUCAUGAGGUUCACCUAAACCUUGGGGGCUAGAAUUGAGAUGGAGCAGUGUUCUGAGGGGUCCCAAGAAGCCUAGUAUAACUCAUAAGAUGCUUGGGAGUUUAAAUAUGCUUUUCUGUGCAGAGUCUACCAUCUAAGUCUCUCUGGUUUGAAGUUGGAGAAACUGAAUUUGUCAUUCAGCUAGAAAACAUACUGGAGGAGAGAUUUUAACUCAUGCCUCAGAACAAAGCUCAGGGCUUUCUGAAGCACCAGAGGGUGCCAAAGGAGUCAGAGCUUGGGUUCUGCCCAUUGAGAAGAAUGAAGAGGGAUGCUGGUUUCAGUUUAGCAGGAGGAAAAUGGUAAAAAUAACAUUGAAAAGAACAAAUAGACUUACAAGGGUUCUCAAGAUUUAUCUGCAAGUGAUAUUUUCUAAGGAGACUGCGUGUGUCCCCCAAACUCCAUUUUCAUCAUGUCACAUUUUUCUCAAAAGCAUUUCUAUAAUUCUAGCAUGAGAAGGGAAGCCUUGGUCUAAAUGUUCAUGAGCGGAACCAAGCCGCCUUUCCAGCCUCAUCCUGCAAGCACAUACUCCCUGGCUGCAGGUAGGUCCCCUGGUAGUGUGUAGAUGCCAGCAUUUCUGUUUUAAUGGUACAUGGAGAGAGGCGAUCUAACCUAACAACAAAUUGAUGAUCUAGCUUGAAAAAAAUACCAACUGCCAUUUCUAUCACCGUAAUUUCAAAAGCAGAAGGACAUUUUAACAUCAAAAAGUGGGAAAAACAUUUUCAGAACAAAUAUCAUGGCUCCUUAAUUUUAAAAAGAUGCCUUGGGUGCGUUGGCUCACGCCUGUAAUCCCAGCACUUUG